ACAAUGUAUAAUUAUGUAUUUAAUUUUAUAAUUUUGAACCUUAAUGACAAGAAAAAACAAAAUGCGAGUAAGUAUAAAACCAGAAUAAAAUCCUGGAGAAAUCACAUUCCCGUUGAAUAUCUCGUUCUACAAUGUCGAACUCCAGUGAUAUUUUCAUCAAUGAUUCAUCAUGCUCCCAAAUACCGGCAGCGCAACAACUACGUCAAAAUGUUUUGAACUACCUAGAGAGGGAAAGACCGUUCCGGUAUGAUGAAAUAAGAUCGAGUCCAUCGUACUCUCCGAUUCCAGCAGCAUCAAGAGAAAGACCCUUUCAAUUCGAAGAAAGACCGAGCAGCAGCGGCCCUGAAAGAGUUCCUAAUAGUAAAAAACGAGGGACCAAAACUUUGUAUUCGUACAUUAAAAAGCCUGCAAAGGGUUUACAAUCGAAAGUAAUACGGAUCCAAAUCUAUGAUGCAGAAGAUUUAAAAAGUUCUAAAUUAUGUGAGUGUAGGGCUAAUGUAUGCGCUCAGCAUAUUGUUGAAAAUGUGUUUAACGAUGAUAUAUACAAGUGCGCAAAAGAUAUGAUAAGUAAAAUUCAAAAGAAACUGUAAAUAAUUCAUAAAUAAACAAUAUUACUGA
Long non-coding RNA from Helicoverpa armigera (cotton bollworm), 618 nucleotides. RefSeq lists it as uncharacterized. The record is from RefSeq and is a predicted model, not a curated record. The transcript is spliced from 2 exons. Lineage: Eukaryota; Metazoa; Arthropoda; Insecta; Lepidoptera; Noctuidae.